This 573-nucleotide ribosomal RNA is filed under the name uncultured fungus. RNAcentral describes it as "eukaryotic LSU rRNA". It matches the Rfam family "Eukaryotic large subunit ribosomal RNA", at positions 24 to 664 of the family's 3401-position model. The record is from RNAcentral. Lineage: Eukaryota; Fungi.
CCCGCUGAACUUAAGCAUAUAACUAGGCGGAGGAAAAGAAACUAACCAGGAUUCCCUCAGUAACGGCGAGUGAAGCGGGAAGAGCUCAGACGUAAAAUCCGAUCAAAAGGAAAUGUCGUCUGGAGAUUGUGACUAUUUCGGCCUCAACAAAUCACGACGGGCCAAGUCUUCUGGAAAGAAGCGCCGAUGAGGGUGAUAGCCCCGUGUAUGCCUGUUGUUGAGAGGGGUCGAAUUGCGCUUUCUACGAGUCGAGUUGUUUGGGAUUGCAGCUCUAAGUGGGUGGUAAAUUCCAUCUAAAGCUAAAUAUUGGUGGGAGACCGAUAGCGAACAAGUACCGUGAGGGAAAGAUGCAAAGAACUUUGAAAAGAGAGUGAAAGAGUACCUGAAAUUGCUGAAAAGGAACCGAUGGGAGGCAGUGUUGUCUGUGCUUGUCCUCGGACGAGUCAGCAAGUUAGGCUUUUUUGGGAUUUUUGGUGCGAGAGGAGUUUUUGACCUGUAUGGGCUUAGACAAUCCAGCGCCAGCCCGAAAGACCUCUGACAAAAUGCCUCUUAUCAUCCCGUCUUGAAACACGG